CACAUUAGUACAUUAUUCAACCUUGACACUCAGCACGCUGGAAAUGCCCGGGUAUGUCCAAAAUUGACACAACUUCACGCUAGACAACACAUCGAAAAUGCGCGUUCGUCUCGCGACACAGGUACUCAGCAAUUCGGUAGUUAACGGAUUACGUUUUUAUCAAUCCCACGACCCACAGGGGCCACUCAAAGGAUGCGAGGAAACAAUUGAGUUUUGUCGACGUAUGAACGAUCUUUUCGAUGCAUUGAACCGCAAAUCUCCAAAUCAAGGUCUUACUCCCGGAAAUGAGGAUUUUAGGAUGAUAGAGGACUCUCUUGAAUGGUUGAACGAGUGGGAGAUGGCUGUAAAAAAAGGUGACAUAGAAUCUGAUGAAUAUUUAACAACGGAAACGUCC
Molecule: long non-coding RNA, 394 nt
Organism: Venturia canescens
Lineage: Eukaryota; Metazoa; Arthropoda; Insecta; Hymenoptera; Ichneumonidae
Exons: 3
Source: RefSeq, a predicted model, not a curated record